CAGGUCUUUAAAAAAUCUCUACCGGCAUGUCUAUUCCUGUUAAUUGUCCUAGGGAUUGCCAUAAUCGCAGCCCAUAUUAAUGGCACCGGAUCCCACAUGUCCCAUAUGCCUCAUGCUCCUCCACCAAAUGUCAGUAUGCAUUGUGUCCCUCCACCCCCUCCACCAAGUGCCCACAUGCAUCGCGCACCUCCACCCCCUCCACCAAGUGCCCUGCCAAGUGCCCAUAUGCAUUGUGCCUCUUCAUCAAGUGCCCAGACGCAUCCUGUCCCUUCACCCCCUCCACCAGGUGCUCAUGCCCAUAAGCAUCGUGCCUCUCCACAAGGUGCUCGUGCCCAU
Molecule: long non-coding RNA, 336 nt
Filed under: Actinidia chinensis (golden kiwifruit)
Lineage: Eukaryota; Viridiplantae; Streptophyta; Magnoliopsida; Ericales; Actinidiaceae
Description: long non-coding RNA (ACHI_LNC009707)
Source: RNAcentral